AGCGAACGCUGGCGGCAGGCCUAACACAUGCAAGUCGAACGAACUCUUCGGAGUUAGUGGCGGACGGGUGAGUAACACGUGGGAACGUGCCUUUUGGUUCGGAAUAACUCAGGUAAACUUGUGCUAAUACCGAAUGUGCCCUUCUGGGGAAAGAUUUAUCGCCAUUAGAGCGGCCCGCGUCUGAUUAGCUAGUUGGUGAGGUAACGGCUCACCAAGGCGACGAUCAGUAGCUGGUCUGAGAGGAUGACCAGCCACACUGGGACUGAGACACGGCCCAGACUACUACGGGAGGCAGCAGUGGGGAAUCUUGCGAAAUGGGCGAAAGCCUGACGAAGCCAUGCCGCGUGAAUGAUGAAGGUCUUAGGAUUGUAAAAUUCUUUCACCGGGGACGAUAAUGACGGUACCCGGAGAAGAAGCCCCGGCUAACUUCGUG
RNAcentral lists this ribosomal RNA (433 nucleotides) under uncultured bacterium. Its description in RNAcentral is "partial 16S ribosomal RNA". It matches the Rfam family "Bacterial small subunit ribosomal RNA", at positions 29 to 507 of the family's 1533-position model. The record is from RNAcentral.